This 431-nucleotide ribosomal RNA is filed under the name Rhodococcus sp. 06-418-1B. Its description in RNAcentral is "bacterial LSU rRNA". It matches the Rfam family "Bacterial large subunit ribosomal RNA", at positions 2498 to 2925 of the family's 2925-position model. Lineage: Bacteria; Bacillati; Actinomycetota; Actinomycetes; Mycobacteriales; Nocardiaceae. The record is from RNAcentral.
GUCCAUAUCGACGGGAUGGUUUGGCACCUCGAUGUCGGCUCGUCGCAUCCUGGGGCUGGAGUAGGUCCCAAGGGUUGGGCUGUUCGCCCAUUAAAGCGGCACGCGAGCUGGGUUUAGAACGUCGUGAGACAGUUCGGUCUCUAUCCGCCGCGCGCGUCAGAAACUUGAGGAAGGCUGUCCCUAGUACGAGAGGACCGGGACGGACGAACCUCUGGUGUGCCAGUUGUUCCACCAGGAGCACCGCUGGUUAGCUACGUUCGGAAGGGAUAACCGCUGAAAGCAUCUAAGCGGGAAGCCUGUUCCAAGAUGAGGUUUCUCACCCCCUUUGUGGGGGUAAGGCCCCCGGCAGACCACCGGGUUGAUAGGCCAGAACUGGAAGUGCAGUAAUGCAUGCAGGUGACUGGUACUAAUAGGCCGAGGACUUACCACAA